This 327-nucleotide unclassified non-coding RNA is filed under the name soil metagenome. Its description in RNAcentral is "partial contains 5.8S ribosomal RNA, internal transcribed spacer 2, and large subunit ribosomal RNA". The stretch from base 1 to 120 matches the Rfam family "5.8S ribosomal RNA", at positions 35 to 154 of the family's 154-position model. The record is from RNAcentral.
GAUGAAGAACGCAGCGAAAUGCGAUAAGUAAUGUGAAUUGCAGAUUUCAGUGAAUCAUCGAAUCUUUGAACGCACAUUGCGCCCCUUGGUAUUCCGGGGGGCAUGCCUGUUCGAGCGUCAUUAUAACCCCUCAAGCUCAGCUUGGUGUUGGGGCCUGCCAACUGGCAGCCCUUAAAAUCAGUGGCGGCGCCAUCUGGCUCUAAGCGUAGUAAUUUCUCUCGCUAUAGGGUCCCGGUGGAUGCUGGCCAACAACCCCCAAUUUUCUAUGGUUGACCUCGGAUCAGGUAGGGAUACCCGCUGAACUUAAGCAUAUCAAUAAGCGGAGGA